GACGAACGCUGGCGGCGUGCUUAACACAUGCAAGUCGAACGAAGUGGCGAACGGGUGAGUAACGCGUAAUCAACCUGCCCUUCAGAGGGGGACAACAGUUGGAACGACUGCUAAUACCGCAUACUGAAGGAGGGGAUUGCGUCUGAUUAGCCAGUUGGGGGGGUAACGGCCCACCAAGGCGAUGAUCAGUAGGCGGGCCUGGGAGGUGAACCGCCACAUUGGGAAUGGGACACGGCCCAGACCCCUACGGGAGGCAGCAGUGGGGAAUCUUCCGAAAAGGACGAAAGGCUGAAGGAGCAACGCCGCGGGAGUGAUGACGGCCCUCGGGUUGUAAAGCUCUGUUAAGCGGGACGCGGUACCGGAAUAGAAAGCCACGGCUAACUACGUGCCAGCAGCCGCGGUAAUAC
Molecule: ribosomal RNA, 407 nt
Filed under: uncultured bacterium
Lineage: Bacteria
Description: partial 16S ribosomal RNA
Rfam family: Bacterial small subunit ribosomal RNA
Source: RNAcentral